GUCGCGCGGCGGCGGCGGCGGCUGCGGGAUGUUCACCGUGGGCGCGGAAAGUCUGCUCCAGCAGGCCAGGGAGAUCCAGGCCGAGGAGCUGGGGAAGUUCUGUUCCCGCAUCUGCAAGCUGCUGCGCGAGGAAGACUUGGGGCCCGAUGCGGUCGACUGUCUGCGGAGGCUUUUCCUCAUUGUCUCGGCCACCAAGUAUAACCGCAGGCUGGACAAGACAUGCGUGGACUUGCUACAGGCCACCCUCUGCUUGCCUGCAUGCCCCGAGCCACUCCAGGUUCUCUGUGCUGCCAUCCUGAGAGAGAUGUCACCCUCUGACAGCCUGACUCUGUCCUGUAACCACACCCAGAACACCCGGCAGCUGAGCCUGGUGGCUUCCGUGCUUUUGGCCCAGGGUGACAGAAGAGAGGAGGUCAGCAUGGUGGCCCAGCACAUCCUGAGAGCCCUGGAGAGCCGGCAGCCCGAGGGGCCCAGUCUCAGGCACCUCCUCCCCGUCAUGUCGAAGGUCGUGGGCCUUAGCCCAGGCGCCCUCCAGGAGGACCAGACCACCCUGCUCAGCAAGAGGCUCAUUGACUGGCUCCGCUACGCCAGCGUCCAGCAAGGGCUCCCGCACUCCGGUGGCUUCUUCUCCACGGCCAGAGCCCGGCAGCCGGGCCCCAUCACCGAGGUGGAUGGGGCAGUGGCCACAGACUUCUUCACGGUGCUGUCCAUGGGCCACCACUUCACGGAGGACCAGUGGCUGAACGUGCAGGCCUUCUCCAUGCUGCGGGCCUGGCUACUGCACAGCGGCCCCGAGGGCCCAGGUGCCCCAGACUCAGACGACAAGUCGGAGCUGGAGGGCUCCACCCUGUCGGUGAUCUCUGCCACCUCCACCGCUGGCCGCCUGCUGCCCCCCCGGGAGCGGCUGAGGGAGGUGGCCUUUGAGUACUGCCAGCGCCUCAUAGAGCAAAGCACCCGGCGAGCCCUGAGGAAAGGGGACUCUGACCUGCAGAAAGCUUGCUUGGUGGAAGCCGUGCUGGUCCUGGAUGUGCUGUGCCGGCAGGACCUGUCCUUCCUCUACCGAACCCUGUCCUGCCUGAAGGCCCUGCACGGGCGGCUGAGCGGGGACCCGGCCUGUGUGCGGGUGCUGCUGCCUCUGGCCCGGUUCUUCCUGACGCACGGGGAGGCGGCUGCAGUGGACUCAGAAGCCGUGUACCAGCACCUGUUCACCAGGGUCCCAGCUGAGCUCUUCCACAGCCCCAUGCUGGCCUUCGAGUUCAUCCAGUUCUGCAGGGACAACCUCCACCUGUUCGGCAGGAACCUCAGCAUCCUUACGCUGAGCUUCCCCAACCUCUUUAAGUUCCUGGCCUGGAACAGCCCAGCACUCACCGCCGAGUUCGUGGCGCUCCUCCCGGUUCUGGUGGAUGCCAGCACAGCCGUGGAGAUACUGCACGCGCUGCUCGACCUGCCCUGCCUGACCGCGGCCCUGGACCUGCAGCUCAGGUCCUUGCCAGCUCUAUCCGAGAGGCCGCUCUGGGACACCUCCCUCAGGAGCCCCAGCUGCCUGGAGGCCUUCCGGGACCCACAGUUCCAGGGUCUCUUCCAGCACCUGCUGCGCCCCAAGGCCAGCGGCACCACAGAGAGGUUGGCACCACUCUACCAGUUGCUGCAGCCCAUGGCCAGCUGUGCCCGGGUAGCCCAGUGCUCUGAGGCCGUGCCCACCCUGCUCCAUGCGUACUUCGCAGCAGUGACCCAGGUCGCCAGUGGGGCCCUGACCGACCAGCUGGUGCUCGUGCUCCUGGAGAGGAGCGACUCGCUUUACCGAGUCCCACAGUUCGAGGCCCGCGUGCACAGGGUGCUGAGCUCCCAGUUCCUGGCCCUGUGCAAGCUGAAGCCCUCCCUGGUGGUGGAGCUGGCGAGACACCUCCUGGAGUUCCUGGGCAGCGUGAGCGGUGUCCACAGCAGAGCGAGCAUGGUCACCAGCGUGGUGUGGGCUGUUGGCGAAUACCUGUCAGUGACGUAUGACCGGAGGUGCACCGUGGAGCAGAUCAACAAGUUCUUUGAAGCCUUGGAGGCCCUGCUGUUCGAGGUCACCCAGUCCCGCCCCUCUGCUACCCUGCCCAAGUGUCCACCACAGGUUGUCACCGUGCUUAUGACCACACUGACCAAGCUGGCCUCCCGGAGCCAAGACCUAAUCCCCAGGGUCUCUCUGUUGCUGUCAAAGAUGAGGACACUGGCCCAGAGCCCUGCUGCCAGCUCCCCGCACGGUGAGGAGGGCGCGGAAGCCAUCCACACCCGGGCCACUGAACUGCUGAACCUCCUGAAGAUGCCCAGCGUGGCCCAGUUCGUGCUCACACCGAGCGCGGAGGUGGGCAGCCCCCGUUAUCACCGCGACGUCAACACGGCCCUGCCCCUGGCCCUGCGCACGGUCAGCCGGCUGGUGGAGAAGGAGGCCAGCCUCCUGCCAGGGUGAAGAGACAGUGACCAGGUGGAUGCCAGCCACAGACUAAGGGCCACACGGCCAGCUUUAGUGAUGAGAGGAGUACCAGUCCUCCUGGAUGGGGGCCCGGUGUCCUCAGACGCAGCAGGACGUGUCCUGAAAAGGUGAUGCCACCACAUGGGAACUCAACUCAGCCAAUUAACAAACACAAACAAAUGGCUUGAUGAUGUUGGC
Non-coding RNA from Microcebus murinus (gray mouse lemur), 2653 nucleotides. NCBI's taxonomy places the organism in Eukaryota, Metazoa, Chordata, Mammalia, Primates, Cheirogaleidae. The record is from RefSeq and is a predicted model, not a curated record.